This 2749-nucleotide long non-coding RNA is filed under the name Pan troglodytes (chimpanzee). RNAcentral's name for it is "long non-coding RNA NONPTRT010882". The record is from RNAcentral. Lineage: Eukaryota; Metazoa; Chordata; Mammalia; Primates; Hominidae.
CAGAUUUUGAAAUCAGAAUGGACACUAACAGGAAUCAAGUGCUACCACUUUCUGAUGUGGAUACAACUUCUGCUACAGAUAUUCAAAGCUGUGCUAUGUGUUUCCAGAUCUGCUUAUUGUUUGGGUUCAAGCCACCCCAGAGGAUUCCUUGCUAUGAAAAUGCGGCAUUUGAAUGCAAUGGGUUUUCAUGUGAUCUUGGUCAAUAACUGGGAGAUGGACAAACUAGAGAUGGAAGAUGCAGUCACAUUUUUGAAGACUAAAAUCUAUUCAGUAGAAGCUCUUCCUGUUGCUGCUGUAAAUGUGCAAAGCACACAAUAAAGUGAAAAUCAACCUUUUCAUAUUAGGAGACAUGCAUUUGUAAAAAUUAAUAAAGAUGACAAGUCAGUUGUCAAUGGAAUUGAGCUAUCUGCUAAGACAAAAAAUGUUACCUCAGUUCACUAUUAAAAUUAAUUUUAGGAGUGGAAGAAAUGUUACUGCCAUUUUAAAAUAUGCUGAGAAAAUUCCAGAAGGGUUAUUUUUCCAACCACACCUAUUCCCUCUAGUGCCCAGAUAUUUGAUUUGUGAGCUGUACGUUUCACCUUUUCAUCUUUGAUCUACUAAAAACUGGUUUCUUAGUUGUGAGGUGUCACAGGCAGGUUGAUGUGGGUAGUAGUCCUUGUGUUUGGAAUCUGAAUAUUUAUACUCCUGCUCUAAGCUGUUCUAAGACUUGGGGUUAUGCCUUUAAAUCAUUUUCAAGCAUUGGCCAAAUAAUAAUUGGACAAAGUUCUAAAGUUGUCAAGUGUGUAAGAAUUAGUGAGGUAGCUGUUGAAAAUGAGUGAGGAUGGUAUUUGUAUUUGUAAUAAGCACUGCAGGUAGAGAUAUUUCAUGGAUUAUAAUAAGAGAAACACAGAUGAGAUAAUAUGUAGAUGGUAAGGAGUCUUACUGUUGUUGGGGUCCUUCCUUUCUCUUUCUUUUUUACCCCUUACCCCUCCUACAAUUUCAUGAAGUCUUUUAAAUUAAAUAUAUAGCUGAAUUGUGUUGUGAAUCAGACCUGAGGACUAUUUUUUCGAUUAUGUGUGUUCAUUCUUUGUUCAAAUAUUUGUCCAAAUUCAACUAUUUUGUUCAAUAUGCCUGUCUACCUAGUAUUUGGCUCGCUGGGGAUAUAGUGAUGAAUAGGCAUGGUCUCUUGUGGAACUUACAGCAUGGGUUCCAUGCAAGUUGGUGUUAUUCUGCCCCCAAGCACACAGACAUGCAAUUACUAGACAUCUUAGUAUGUGCCGGGCACUGCUAAGUAUUCAUUUGUGUGCUGCCUUUUCAUGAUCUGAACCCUUUGAGGUGUAGCUGCUAUUAUGAUUCUCUCUGUGUCUUCACUUCCUCAUCUCUAAAAUCAGGAUAGGUAUUUGCCCAAGGCUACACAGAGUAGGGGAGGGCUAGAGUUUGAAUGUGAGCUAACAUAGGCUUAUAAGAAAAUACAAAAACUGGGCUGGGCACGGUGGGUCGUGCUUGUCAUCCCAGCACUUGGGAGGCCGAGGUGGGCUGAUCAUGAGGUCAGGAGAUCAAGACAAUCCUGGCCAACACGGUGAAACCCUAUCUCUACUAAAAUACAAAAAAUUAGCCUGGCAUGGUGGUGCAUGCCUAUAAUCCCAGCUACUGGGGAGGCUGAGGCAGGGGAAUCGCUUGAACCCGGGAGGUGGAGAUUGCAGUGAGCCAGGAUGGUCCUGCUGCACUCCAGCCUGACCACAGAGCGAGACUCUGUCUCAAAAAAAAACAAAAACAAAAACAAACAAAAAAACAAAAACUAUAGCAAUAUGACAACAGCUGCCAGGUUGUAUCAAUUUAUCCAGCUUGCAUUUAGAAAAGGUUAGAGAUGAAAGGAAAUUUAGUGAUUAUUUAAUUGUUACUUCCCUCAUUUUAUGGACGAGGAAGAUAAGGCUCAAAGAAUUUUCCUUUCCUGAAGUCUCAGCUAUGCCAUUGGUUCCACAUCAUUUCAUCCUCGCCUGCUCUUCAGCUUGUGUCCCAGGAGAUCAGGCUUCUGGUUCCAGAUUGGACAACCUCUAGUUUUGUAUACUUGGUCAAAUGAUUUAACCUUAUAAGCUUCAGAACAAGAUGCAGAUAUUCUGUUAUUAAAGAAACUAAGGUUUUGUCUUUAAAUGUUGAGUGUGCAUCAGUUUUGAGUGUCUAAUUAUGACUCCUCUUCAAAGGAUUUGACAAAUUUGUGAAUAUUUAUGACCACCUUUUAGGGUAGUAAUUUUCAGUUUGUACUAGUUAACCUGGCAGAUAAAAAGGCAUCCCUCUUUUACUAGCAUUCUAGUGUUAGCAUUCUUCAUUGCUUUGUGUCAAUGAAAGAAAAAUGGGCAAAGAGCUGAUGAACAUGAAAAAAGUUCAGUCUACUUGUAAAGACAUGCACAUUGAAACAGAAGAGAUGGUUUUGCCUUUCAAAUUAGCAGUUUUUUUUCUUUUAAGAAUUACAGUGCUGAUGAAGGUAUAAUGAGGCAAGCACUUGCAUAAGCUGUUGGUAGACUGUAAAUUAAUACCUUUCUGGAAUGUACUUUGUGGGGUUUUCUUCUCCCAUAAUUUAAAAAAUAGCUUUAUUAUAGUAUAAUUGACAUACAGUAAACUGCAUAUAUUUAAAGUGUACCAUUAGGUCAGUUUUGACGUACAUACACACACACACACAUCUGUGAAACCACAAUCAAGAUAAUGAAUAUAUCUAUCACCUCUAAAAGGUUCCUGUCUUUGCUUUUUUCUCUGUCCCCUAAACAACCACUGA